Molecule: ribosomal RNA, 433 nt
Filed under: uncultured bacterium
Lineage: Bacteria
Description: partial 16S ribosomal RNA
Rfam family: Bacterial small subunit ribosomal RNA
Source: RNAcentral
AACGAACGCUGGCGGCAUGCCUAACACAUGCAAGUCGAACGAGACCUUCGGGUCUAGUGGCGCACGGGUGCGUAACGCGUGGGAACCUGCCCUUAGGUUCGGAAUAACUCCCCGAAAGGGGUGCUAAUACCGGAUAAUGUCUUCGGACCAAAGAUUUAUCGCCUUUGGAUGGGCCCGCGUUGGAUUAGCUAGUUGGUAGGGUAAAAGCCUACCAAGGCGACGAUCCAUAGCUGGUCUGAGAGGAUGAUCAGCCACACUGGGACUGAGACACGGCCCAGACUCCUACGGGAGGCAGCAGUGGUGACUAUUGGACAAUGGGCGAGAGCCUGAUCCAUCAAUGCCGCGUGAGUGAUGAAGGCCUUAGGGUUGUAAAGCUCUUUUACCCGGGAUGAUAAUGACAGUACCGGGAGAAUAAGCUCCGGCUAACUCCGUG